GACGAACGCUGGCGGCGUGCUUAACACAUGCAAGUCGAACGGAAAGGCCCUGCUUGCAGGGUGCUCGAGUGGCGAACGGGUGAGUAACACGUGGGUGAUCUGCCCCUUACUUUGGGAUAAGCCUGGGAAACUGGGUCUAAUACUGGAUAGGACCAUGCUGUAGGUGGUGUGGUGGAAAGAUUAGUUUCGGUAAGGGAUGAGCUCGCGGCCUAUCAGCUUGUUGGUGGGGUAAUGGCCUACCAAGGCGUCGACGGGUAGCCGGCCUGAGAGGGUGGACGGCCACAUUGGGACUGAGAUACGGCCCAGACUCCUACGGGAGGCAGCAGUGGGGAAUAUUGCACAAUUGGCGCAAGCCUGAUGCAGCGACGCCGCGUGGGGGAUGACGGCCUUCGGGUUGUAAACUCCUUUCAGCCAUGACGAAGCCCUUGUGGUGACGGUAGUGGUAGAAGAAGCACCGGCUAACUACGUG
Molecule: ribosomal RNA, 469 nt
Filed under: uncultured bacterium
Lineage: Bacteria
Description: partial 16S ribosomal RNA
Rfam family: Bacterial small subunit ribosomal RNA
Source: RNAcentral